This 240-nucleotide long non-coding RNA is filed under the name Hordeum vulgare. RNAcentral's name for it is "long non-coding RNA (HVUL_LNC015280)". Lineage: Eukaryota; Viridiplantae; Streptophyta; Magnoliopsida; Poales; Poaceae. The record is from RNAcentral.
UCGGGAGGCUCGCCGGGAUGGCAGCAAGGUGGCGGCGUUGGGGUGUGAAGCGACGGGCGGUGAACAUGAGAAGUCGGACAGGAGGAGGCGUUCUGCAGAGAUCUGGAAGGAGAGGAGGUCGGUGGGAGGAGAGCGAGCGGUGUCGUGGUGGUCUUGCUGCUGAGCGACAACAGGAGGACGACGAUAUGAGGCAGAGGAGGUCGUGCAGGAAGCUUCCAUGCGGAUUAGGGAGACACUGCU